CUUGAUGGAGCCGAGCCACAGCGGCUGGUCGGCGUCGCGGUCCUGGCCGUAGGUCGCGAGCAGCGCCUGGGCCUC
This is a non-coding RNA of Streptomyces autolyticus, 75 nucleotides long. The record is from Rfam. NCBI's taxonomy places the organism in Bacteria, Bacillati, Actinomycetota, Actinomycetes, Kitasatosporales, Streptomycetaceae.